Molecule: small nuclear RNA, 104 nt
Filed under: Carlito syrichta (Philippine tarsier)
Lineage: Eukaryota; Metazoa; Chordata; Mammalia; Primates; Tarsiidae
Source: RNAcentral
UUGCUUUGGCAGCAUGUAAUACUAAAAUUGGAACGAUGAAGAGAAGAUUAGCAUGGCCCCUGCACAAGGAUGACACACAACUUUGUGAAGUGUUCCAUAUUUUU